Molecule: ribosomal RNA, 321 nt
Filed under: Triticum aestivum (bread wheat)
Lineage: Eukaryota; Viridiplantae; Streptophyta; Magnoliopsida; Poales; Poaceae
Description: partial small subunit ribosomal RNA
Source: RNAcentral
AUGGUGUUGAGAGACUGCGAAGUGAUAUUAUCUCUACCCGUCUACAAUAAGGCCAUAAAAUCCAAAAAAAAUUCUACAGAUGGAUCACUAAGGAAUCUUGUUUCAGCCAAGUCCACUAGACCUCUGCUAUUCCAGAAUAUUUGUUUCAUAUUUCAUCAUGGAAUUUUUUUUCUUUUGUUUAACUCUCGCACUCCUACACACCGCCAAUGUAGGAUAAACCUUUCUCUUCCAGGGUUUUUUUGGCUUAUCCUUCAUCUCCUCAGUUUGAUGGCCGGUGAUAGGAGUGGUAAUUGGCCGCAGAGGGGCCACAUACCCCUCUAG